This 1070-nucleotide ribosomal RNA is filed under the name Escherichia coli. Its description in RNAcentral is "partial 23S ribosomal RNA". It matches the Rfam family "Bacterial large subunit ribosomal RNA", at positions 165 to 1273 of the family's 2925-position model. The record is from RNAcentral. Lineage: Bacteria; Pseudomonadati; Pseudomonadota; Gammaproteobacteria; Enterobacterales; Enterobacteriaceae.
CAUAGGUUAAUGAGGCGAACCGGGGGAACUGAAACAUCUAAGUACCCCGAGGAAAAGAAAUCAACCGAGAUUCCCCCAGUAGCGGCGAGCGAACGGGGAGCAGCCCAGAGCCUGAAUCAGUGUGUGUGUUAGUGGAAGCGUCUGGAAAGGCGCGCGAUACAGGGUGACAGCCCCGUACACAAAAAUGCACAUACUGUGAGCUCGAUGAGUAGGGCGGGACACGUGGUAUCCUGUCUGAAUAUGGGGGGACCAUCCUCCAAGGCUAAAUACUCCUGACUGACCGAUAGUGAACCAGUACCGUGAGGGAAAGGCGAAAAGAACCCCGGCGAGGGGAGUGAAAAAGAACCUGAAACCGUGUACGUACAAGCAGUGGGAGCACGCUUAGGCGUGUGACUGCGUACCUUUUGUAUAAUGGGUCAGCGACUUAUAUUCUGUAGCAAGGUUAACCGAAUAGGGGAGCCGAAGGGAAACCGAGUCUUAACUGGGCGUUAAGUUGCAGGGUAUAGACCCGAAACCCGGUGAUCUAGCCAUGGGCAGGUUGAAGGUUGGGUAACACUAACUGGAGGACCGAACCGACUAAUGUUGAAAAAUUAGCGGAUGACUUGUGGCUGGGGGUGAAAGGCCAAUCAAACCGGGAGAUAGCUGGUUCUCCCCGAAAGCUAUUUAGGUAGCGCCUCGUGAAUUCAUCUCCGGGGGUAGAGCACUGUUUCGGCAAGGGGGUCAUCCCGACUUACCAACCCGAUGCAAACUGCGAAUACCGGAGAAUGUUAUCACGGGAGACACACGGCGGGUGCUAACGUCCGUCGUGAAGAGGGAAACAACCCAGACCGCCAGCUAAGGUCCCAAAGUCAUGGUUAAGUGGGAAACGAUGUGGGAAGGCCCAGACAGCCAGGAUGUUGGCUUAGAAGCAGCCAUCAUUUAAAGAAAGCGUAAUAGCUCACUGGUCGAGUCGGCCUGCGCGGAAGAUGUAACGGGGCUAAACCAUGCACCGAAGCUGCGGCAGCGACGCUGAUGCGUUGUUGGGUAGGGGAGCGUUCUGUAAGCCUGUGAAGGUGUGCUGUGAGGCAUGC